GAUGAACGCUGGCGGCGGGCCUAAUACAUGCAAGUCGAGCGAACAGACGAGGAGCUUGCUCCUCUGACGUUAGCGGCGGACGGGUGAGUAACACGUGGAUAAGCUACCUAUUUGACUUGGAGAACUUCGGGAAACCGGAGCUACUACCGGAUAAUAUAUUGAACCGCAUAGAUCAAUAGUGAAAGACGGUUUUGCUGUCACUUAUAGAUGGAUCCGCGCCGCAUUAGCUAGUUGGUAAGGUAACGGCUUACCAAGGCAACGAUGCGUAGCCGACCUGAGAGGGUGAUCGGCCACACUGGAACUGAGACACGGUCCAGACUCCUACGGGAGGCAGCAGUAGGGAAUCUUCCGCAAUGGGCGAAAGCCUGACGGAGCAACGCCGCGUGAGUGAUGAAGGUCUUCGGAUCGUAAAACUCUGUUAUUAGGGAAGAACAAAUGUGUAAGUAACUAUGCACGUCUUGACGGUACCUAAUCAGAAAGCCACGGCUAACUACGUG
This 497-nucleotide ribosomal RNA is filed under the name uncultured bacterium. Its description in RNAcentral is "partial 16S ribosomal RNA". It matches the Rfam family "Bacterial small subunit ribosomal RNA", at positions 28 to 507 of the family's 1533-position model. The record is from RNAcentral.